CCUACGGGUGGCAGCAGUGAGGAAUAUUGGUCAAUGGACGAGAGUCUGAACCAGCCAAGUAGCGUGAAGGAUGACUGCCCUAUGGGUUGUAAACUUCUUUUAUAUGGGAAUAAAAUGUUCCACGUGUGGGAUUUUGUAUGUACCAUAUGAAUAAGGAUCGGCUAACUCCGUGCCAGCAGCCGCGGUAAUACGGAGGAUCCGAGCGUUAUCCGGAUUUAUUGGGUUUAAAGGGAGCGUAGGUGGAUUGUUAAGUCAGUUGUGAAAGUUUGCGGCUCAACCGUAAAAUUGCAGUUGAAACUGGCAGUCUUGAGUACAGUAGAGGUGGGCGGAAUUCGUGGUGUAGCGGUGAAAUGCUUAGAUAUCACGAAGAACUCAGAUUGCGAAGGCAGUUCACUGGACUGCAACUGACACUGAGGCUCGAAAGUGUGGGUAUCAAACAGGAUUAGAUACCCUAGUAGUC
Molecule: ribosomal RNA, 460 nt
Filed under: uncultured bacterium
Lineage: Bacteria
Description: partial 16S ribosomal RNA
Rfam family: Bacterial small subunit ribosomal RNA
Source: RNAcentral